Molecule: ribosomal RNA, 380 nt
Filed under: uncultured bacterium
Lineage: Bacteria
Description: bacterial SSU rRNA
Rfam family: Bacterial small subunit ribosomal RNA
Source: RNAcentral
UAUUGGACAAUGGGCGAAAGCCUGAUCCAGCAAUGCCGCGUGAGUGAUGAAGGCCUUAGGGUUGUAAAGCUCUUUUACCCGGGAUGAUAAUGACAGUACCGGGAGAAUAAGCUCCGGCUAACUCCGUGCCAGCAGCCGCGGUAAUACGGAGGGAGCUAGCGUUGUUCGGAAUUACUGGGCGUAAAGCGCACGUAGGCGGCUUUGUAAGUUAGAGGUGAAAGCCUGGAGCUCAACUCCAGAAUUGCCUUUGAUACUGCAUCGCUUGAAUCCAGGAGAGGUGAGUGGAAUUCCGAGUGUAGAGGUGAAAUUCGUAGAUAUUCGGAAGAACACCAGUGGCGAAGGCGGCUCACUGGUGCUGGUAUUGACGCUGAGGUGCGAAA